This 965-nucleotide ribosomal RNA is filed under the name uncultured bacterium. RNAcentral's name for it is "bacterial SSU rRNA". It matches the Rfam family "Bacterial small subunit ribosomal RNA", at positions 56 to 1030 of the family's 1533-position model. The record is from RNAcentral.
UGCAGUCGCGCGACGCACGGAGCAAUCCGUGACGGAGCGGCGAACGGGUGAGUAACACGUGAGAAACCUGUCCCUACUUUCCGGAUAAUUGGAAGAAAUUCCUUGUAAUACGGGGGAGGGUCAUUGUGGGGCAUCCCAUGAUGAAGGAAGGCGCAAGCCGAGCAGGGAGGGUCUCGCGGCCUAUCAGGUAGUUGGUGGGGUAACGGCCUACCAAGCCUACGACGGGUAGCUGGUCUGAGAGGAUGGUCAGCCACACUGGAACUGAGAUACUGUCCGGACUCCUACGGGAGGCUGCAGUCGAGAAUCUUGGGCAAUGCACGAAAGUGUGACCCAGCGACGCCGCGUGAAGGAUGAAGGCGCUCAGCGUCGUAAACUUCUUUUCGGGGAGAAGAACGGGUUUCGGCCCUUGACGGUAUCCCCGGAAUAAGCCACGGCUAACUACGUGCCAGCAGCCGCGGUAAUACGUAGGUGGCAAGCGUUGUCCGGAUUUACUGGGCGUAAAGGGCGGGCAGGCGGAUUGUUAAGUAGGAAGUGAAAGGUUGGAGCUCAACUCUAACACUGCUCCCUAUACUGGCAGUCUUGAGUCCCGGAGAGGAAAGCGGAACGACACGUGUAGCGGUGAAAUGCGUUGAUAUGUGUCGGAACACCAAUUGCGAAGGCAGCUUUCUGGACGGGAACUGACGCUCAUCCGCGAAAGCCAAGGUAGCGAACAGGAUUAGAUACCCUGGUAGUCUUGGCCCUAAACGAUGUUCACUAGGUGUUGGGGGUUUCCCUCGGUGCCGCAGCUAACGCAUUAAGUGAACCGCCUGGGAACUACGGCCGCAAGGUUGAAACUCAAAGGAAUUGGCGGGGGCCCGCACAAGCGGUGGAGCAUGUGGCUUAAUUCGAUGCAACGCGAAGAACCUUACCAGGGCUUGACAUGGAUCUGCAAGCUGACCGAAAAGCAGUCGCUUUCGAAGGGUGAU